This 90-nucleotide transfer RNA is filed under the name Candidatus Bathyarchaeota archaeon. Its description in RNAcentral is "tRNA-Ala". The stretch from base 29 to 87 matches the Rfam family "tRNA". Rfam says of the family: Transfer RNA (tRNA) molecules are approximately 80 nucleotides in length. Their secondary structure includes four short double-helical elements and three loops (D, anti-codon, and T loops). Further hydrogen bonds mediate the characteristic L-shaped molecular structure. tRNAs have two regions of fundamental functional importance: the anti-codon, which is responsible for specific mRNA codon recognition, and the 3' end, to which the tRNAs corresponding amino acid is attached (by aminoacyl-tRNA synthetases). tRNAs cope with the degeneracy of the genetic code in two manners: having more than one tRNA (with a specific anti-codon) for a particular amino acid; and 'wobble' base-pairing, i.e. permitting non-standard base-pairing at the 3rd anti-codon position. The record is from RNAcentral. Lineage: Archaea; Thermoproteati; Candidatus Bathyarchaeota.
GAUGCCGGAACCCCGUUAAGGGCUCCAGGGUGCUAGAUAGACGGGUUUGCAACCCGCAGGUCGCCGGUUCGAAUCCGGUCGGCCCCACCA